This is a long non-coding RNA of Scaptodrosophila lebanonensis, 1218 nucleotides long. RefSeq lists it as uncharacterized. The transcript has 4 exons. Lineage: Eukaryota; Metazoa; Arthropoda; Insecta; Diptera; Drosophilidae. The record is from RefSeq and is a predicted model, not a curated record.
AUAAUUUAUUUGACCAUUAUUAAGUGUAGUUGGUUUUUAAAAGUAACACAGUUGUCUUUGGAAAAGCAUUCGUUUGUGGUGAGACAAUAAAUUCAGUUAUUGUUUUCACUGGAUCGGAAAACAAACUAAAUUGUACUGUAAAAUUUCGGCAUUUUGUAAUAACAAAUUUGAAAAAUUUUUGCUCUUCAACCAAGUCGACAUUGAAAGUCUAUCAGCCUUCAGGGACUUUUCAGUUCGAUUCGAAAUCGUACGUAUUGAUGUUACUUGUAUUUAUUGAACAUACUCUAUUGACCAAGGAGAUGACAAUUAAAUAUGCAUAAGUGUUCUGAGUGUAGAGCAAUCCGGAGUCCAGUGCACUUAUCUAAAGGUUGUUAUAAUAUGCGACCUCGAAUCACACAAAUAGAAAAAUAAUAAGGACGCGAAAGGAUUUGUCCGCAGCUUUUGUAUUGGAACGAUUACCGCCUUAUCUUCCUUUUCGAGUUAAGCUGGUCUGGACUUGCCAAUAUUGUCAGAUACUGGUGAAUUCUAUAACCGGCAUGCGGACAAUGCACGAGUAGUUAGUCCCCGAGUGCCCAAGUGGUCCUUUUCAUGGUAAUUCAUCCGAGUCCUGACUUUGUAUCGUCGCCCCAAACAUGGUGUUUCGGUUUUGGAGUCCUCUUGCGCUGUUUCAAAAUCACGUCUGUGCAACCAAAUUGGAGUCAAUACGAAGAUAUGAACAGAGCGGACUUCGCCUCGCCCUUCGACUAGAAUUAUUAGACAGACCGGAAAGAAUUGUGAUAUGUUGAUGGGCUACAGCUGUAUUCCCAAGUUAGUGCGGCGUUGGGUCCCGUCAUUGAGCAAAUUUCUAGGGGUAUGCAAGGAUUUCUUGACAGUGGUGGCUUGACUUGGGCCGUGAUUCGGACAUAAUUGUAGUUUGGGACGCUCGAAACAUUACUGGAAUUAGAUCGAAGAAGUGGCCUGCCUGAGCGAGUUGUCUAGGCCGUAAUUAUAGAAGCGAUGGAAUCUUGAGUCUCAAGAUUUCGUCCAUUUUGUAUUAUUGGUGUCCAUUUAAUUAUAAACCAAAGAACUUCUAGGUGCAUCGAAUAACUCAAGACAUUCAGGACUUUCGACGCCUGCCUUCUCUUUGUAAUAAUUAAAAAAACAACAUUGAUCUUAUUGUAAAAAAAUUUAGUUUGUAUCAUUAUGUAUGAAUGAAUAAAUUAUUAUAAGUAUUUGUAA